UUAUUGUAGUUUGUUUUUGGUGGAACAUCUGAUUUAUUUAACAUGAAUCCCAGAGAAACUCCUAUUAAUUCUAUAUUUCUGGUCUUUUUAGUGCAACAACAACAAAAUAUUUUCUUAUUAGGAUUAUUUUCAUGGUUUUGUGUCUAAAACAUCUCAGGAUGGUGAAAAUGUCCAUCAGAGUCUUAAAACCAAACAUGACGUCUUUAAGAAACUCAGUUAACCAUCUAGAGCUGCAACGAUAUUAAUCAGUUAGUUGUCAACUAUAAAUUUAAAUGCCAACUAAUCUGAUAUUAGACUAAUCGGUUUGAGUCAUUUUCUAAAUAAAAACAGUCUAAAUUCAGUGAUUUCAGCUCCUUAAAUGUGAAUAUUUUCUGGUUUCUUUCCUCUGUCACAGUAAACUGAAGAUCUUUGGACUAAACCAGACAUUUGAGGAAACUCUGAUCCAUGAAUCCAGAAAAUCAACAAUGAAACUCAUCAUCUCCAGUAAAAAGCUGUUAAAUAAAUUUAAGGACGAAGGUUUUAGCACUUUUGCUUCGAGAAUUUAGUCCCAGUUUGCUGUUAUUUGUGUCUGAUUUACAUAAAUUUGAGAAGAAUCGAUGAGUUCUCCACUUUUAAAUCAAUCCCGGAGUCAUUUCACCAUAAAAACUGUGUAAAUUCUUUAAAUAUUUUCUGCUUUCUUUCCUCUUCUACAACGAUGAACUGAAGAUCUUUUGGUUUUGGAAUCCCUGAUCCACAUUUUCUGGCACUUUAGAGUCUAAACAUCUGAUCUGUUUAUUCAGAAAACUAAUCAUUGGUAGCUUCUUGUCUCCAACAUAAACGCUCAUCAAUCGUCAUGUUCCAGAGCCUCUAACUCCACAGGAAUCUCCAUAAAGAGAACGACUGUAGAAGCCCAUAAAACACUUGAUGUGUGAACUUGUCCUCCUUUACCGCCUCACAGCCGCUAAUCUGAGAUGGAGGCUUGUAAUUAGUCGGUCAGCAACCAGGUGUGUCGCCCCUGGACAACCUGACGACCAGAAAACAAUCCAAAGAGCUGCCAGGUCCCUUCAGCUGCAGAAUGGAGGCAAAGAAACAAAAGAAACAGGUGAAAUCUGCAGAAAAUCUGGUUAAAUCUGCAGAAUGGAGGCAAAGAAACAAAAGAAACAGGUGAAAUCUGCAGAAAAACAGGUGAAAUCUGCAGAAAAUCUGGUUAAAUCUGCAGAAUGGAGGCAAAGAAACAAAAGAAACAGGUGAAAUCUGCAGAAAAUCUGGUUAAAUCUGCAGAAUGGAGGCAAAGAAACAAAAGAAACAGGUGAAAUCUGCCGAAAAACGUGAAAUCUACAGAAAAACAGGUUAAAUCUGCAGAAAAACAGGUCAGAUCUGCCCACUGGUGGCUCAGGAGCAGCACUGCAGCACACAGAUCCACACAUUCACCCAAAUAUUCACUUAAAGAAGGUUAAAAUUCAGAUUUAGUCAUAGUUUCUCCUAGACUAAUCCUAAAUUAAUCAAAUGUUCCACCAAAAUCACACUACAACCAGCUGUUUGGUUCUAAAAAGUCAGAAAGUGUUAAAAAUGUCAAUUAGUGGUAAAGAUCUUCAGUUUACUGUCAGAAAGGAGGAAAAAAACAGAAAAUAUUCACAUUUAAGGAGCUGGAGUCACAGAAUUUAGAGGUUUUCUUCUUGAAAAAUUACUGAAACUGAUUCAUUAAUCAGCUGUUUGUCUCUAAAAUGUCUUUAAAAGGUGAAAAAUGUGGAUCACAGUUUCCUCAAAUGUCCUGUUUAGUCCAAAGAUCUUCAGUGUACUGUCCAGAGGAAAGAAACCAGAAAAUAUUCAUAUUUAAGAACUUUAUUACUUUAUUUAGUAAAUGACUUAAACAGAUUAAAUUAUUACUUAUUUUGUCUUUAAAAAGUCAGAAAAUGUUGAAAAAUAUCAAUUAGUGGUAAAGAUCUUCAGUUUACUGUCAUAGAGG
This is a long non-coding RNA of Amphiprion ocellaris (clown anemonefish), 1945 nucleotides long. The record is from Ensembl. NCBI's taxonomy places the organism in Eukaryota, Metazoa, Chordata, Actinopteri, Pomacentridae.